UACAGAGGGGGCAAGCGUUAUUCGGAAUUAUUGGGCGUAAAGGGCGCGUAGGCGGCCUGGCAAGUGGAAGGUGAAAUCCCUCGGCUUAACCGAGGAACUGCCCUCCAAACUGCUUGGCUUGAGUCCGGGAGAGGUGAGUGGAAUUCCCAGUGUAGCGGUAAAAUUCGUAGAUAUUCGGAAGAACACCAGUGGCGAAGGCGACUUACUGGACACAUAUUGACGCUGAGGUGCGAAAGCGUGGGGAGCAAACGGG
Molecule: ribosomal RNA, 253 nt
Filed under: uncultured bacterium
Lineage: Bacteria
Description: partial 16S ribosomal RNA
Rfam family: Bacterial small subunit ribosomal RNA
Source: RNAcentral